Pangasianodon hypophthalmus (striped catfish) is the source of this 386-nucleotide long non-coding RNA. RefSeq lists it as uncharacterized. NCBI's taxonomy places the organism in Eukaryota, Metazoa, Chordata, Actinopteri, Siluriformes, Pangasiidae. The record is from RefSeq and is a predicted model, not a curated record. The transcript has 4 exons.
CGAGUAGGAAAGAACAGUGCACAAAAUCAGAGCCUAUUACCAGAACAAGCUAAAUGCUCUGAAGAGGGUCUUGGAUAUCUAUCAGGAGAAGGUGGAGAGGAGAAGUGCACUAUGGGAGGAGAAGAUCAAGGGUCUGCAGAGUGUGAACGAGAGACUGCAGGAUGAGCAGAAGGCUUUGCAGGAGAGAAGCAGACACGACUCUGAAACCUGGGAGAGAGAGAAGAGCAAGAUGAUGGAGCUCUUCUCUUCACGUUUAGAUCAGCUUCACAACCACCAGGCGUCCACACUCCAGGAGCUGCAGAUGGCCAGGAUGGAGAUGGGACGUGUGCAGGAAAUGCUUCAGACCUCAAAGGAUGCCAAAGAGCCUGAAGUGAAAGAAAUGGUAA